UUUAUUUGAGAGUUUGAUCCUGGCUCAGGACGAACGCUGGCGGCGUGCCUAAUACAUGCAAGUUGAGCGAUGAAGAUUGGUGCUUGCACCAAUUUGAAGAGCAGCGAACGGGUGAGUAACGCGUGGGGAAUCUGCCUUUGAGCGGGGGACAACAUUUGGAAACGAAUGCUAAUACCGCAUAACAACUUUAAACAUAAGUUUUAAGUUUGAAAGAUGCAAUUGCAUCACUCAAAGAUGAUCCCGCGUUGUAUUAGCUAGUUGGUGAGGUAAAGGCUCACCAAGGCGAUGAUACAU
RNAcentral lists this ribosomal RNA (294 nucleotides) under Lactococcus cremoris. RNAcentral describes it as "Lactococcus lactis subsp. cremoris partial small subunit ribosomal RNA". It matches the Rfam family "Bacterial small subunit ribosomal RNA", at positions 1 to 284 of the family's 1533-position model. Lineage: Bacteria; Bacillati; Bacillota; Bacilli; Lactobacillales; Streptococcaceae. The record is from RNAcentral.